UUGAAGAGUUUGAUCAUGGCUCAGAUUGAACGCUGGCGGCAGGCCUAACACAUGCAAGUCGAACGGUAACAGGAAGAAGCUUGCUUCUUUGCUGACGAGUGGCGGACGGGUGAGUAAUGUCUGGGAAACUGCCUGAUGGAGGGGGAUAACUACUGGAAACGGUAGCUAAUACCGCAUAACGUCGCAAGACCAAAGAGGGGGACCUUCGGGCCUCUUGCCAUCGGAUGUGCCCAGAUGGGAUUAGCUUGUUGGUGGGGUAACGGCUCACCAAGGCGACGAUCCCUAGCUGGUCUGAGAGGAUGACCAGCCACACUGGAACUGAGACACGGUCCAGACUCCUACGGGAGGCAGCAGUGGGGAAUAUUGCACAAUGGGCGCAAGCCUGAUGCAGCCAUGCCGCGUGUAUGAAGAAGGCCUUCGGGUUGUAAAGUACUUUCAGCGGGGAGGAAGGGAGUAAAGUUAAUACCUUUGCUCAUUGACGUUACCCGCAGAAGAAGCACCGGCUAACUCCGUGCCAGCAGCCGCGGUAAUACGGAGGGUGCAAGCGUUAAUCGGAAUUACUGGGCGUAAAGCGCACGCAGGCGGUUUGUUAAGUCAGAUGUGAAAUCCCCGGGCUCAACCUGGGAACUGCAUCUGAUACUGGCAAGCUUGAGUCUCGUAGAGGGGGGUAGAAUUCCAGGUGUAGCGGUGAAAUGCGUAGAGAUCUGGAGGAAUACCGGUGGCGAAGGCGGCCCCCUGGACGAAGACUGACGCUCAGGUGCGAAAGCGUGGGGAGCAAACAGGAUUAGAUACCCUGGUAGUCCACGCCGUAAACGAUGUCGACUUGGAGGUUGUGCCCUUGAGGCGUGGCUUCCGGAGCUAACGCGUUAAGUCGACCGCCUGGGGAGUACGGCCGCAAGGUUAAAACUCAAAUGAAUUGACGGGGGCCCGCACAAGCGGUGGAGCAUGUGGUUUAAUUCGAUGCAACGCGAAGAACCUUACCUGGUCUUGACAUCCACAGAACUUUCCAGAGAUGGAUUGGUGCCUUCGGGAACUGUGAGACAGGUGCUGCAUGGCUGUCGUCAGCUCGUGUUGUGAAAUGUUGGGUUAAGUCCCGCAACGAGCGCAACCCUUAUCCUUUGUUGCCAGCGGUCCGGCCGGGAACUCAAAGGAGACUGCCAGUGAUAAACUGGAGGAAGGUGGGGAUGACGUCAAGUCAUCAUGGCCCUUACGACCAGGGCUACACACGUGCUACAAUGGCGCAUACAAAGAGAAGCGACCUCGCGAGAGCAAGCGGACCUCAUAAAGUGCGUCGUAGUCCGGAUUGGAGUCUGCAACUCGACUCCAUGAAGUCGGAAUCGCUAGUAAUCGUGGAUCAGAAUGCCACGGUGAAUACGUUCCCGGGCCUUGUACACACCGCCCGUCACACCAUGGGAGUGGGUUGCAAAAGUAGGUAGCUUAACCUUCGGGAGGGCGCUUACCACUUUGUGAUUCAUGACUGGGGUGAAGUCGUAACAAGGUAACCGUAGGGGAACCUGCGGUUGGAUCACCUCCUU
This 1535-nucleotide ribosomal RNA is filed under the name Escherichia coli. RNAcentral describes it as "bacterial SSU rRNA". It matches the Rfam family "Bacterial small subunit ribosomal RNA". Lineage: Bacteria; Pseudomonadati; Pseudomonadota; Gammaproteobacteria; Enterobacterales; Enterobacteriaceae. The record is from RNAcentral.